Molecule: ribosomal RNA, 463 nt
Filed under: uncultured bacterium
Lineage: Bacteria
Description: partial 16S ribosomal RNA
Rfam family: Bacterial small subunit ribosomal RNA
Source: RNAcentral
GAUGAACGCUGACAGAAUGCUUAACACAUGCAAGUCGAUGGGGAAGUGGUGCUUGCACCAUGGCAACCAUGGCGGACGGGUGAGUAACGCGUAAGGGACUUACCUGCAGGACUGGGAUAACAGGGGGAAACUCCUGACAAGACCGGAUAAUGUCAUGGAGCUGCAUGGCUUUAUGAUGAAAGUAGACGCCUGCGGAGAGCCUUGCGUCCUAUUAGCUAGUUGGUGAGGUAAUGGCUCACCAAGGCGAAGAUAGGUAGCCGGCCUGAGAGGGUGGACGGCCACAAGGGGACUGAGAGACGGCCCUUACUCCUACGGGAGGCAGCAGUGGGGAAUAUUGGACAAUGGGGGCAACCCUGAUAAAGCAAUUCUGUGUGCACGAAGAAGGUUUUCGGAUUGUAAAGUGCUUUCAGCAGGGAAGAAGUAAGUGACGGUACCUGCAGAAGAAGCGACGGCUAAAUACGUG